Sciurus carolinensis (gray squirrel) is the source of this 723-nucleotide long non-coding RNA. RefSeq lists it as uncharacterized. The transcript has 4 exons. The record is from RefSeq and is a predicted model, not a curated record. Lineage: Eukaryota; Metazoa; Chordata; Mammalia; Rodentia; Sciuridae.
GAAGGAAGAUCUUUGGGAUGUACUGUGGCUCAUGCUUGAAAGAGAAGCUGAUUCUCCGAGUUUUGAGUGCUCAAUCCCACUGUGUUGCUUAAUUGGAUCAGUCUGUUAAGGCUCAAAACAGUCUGAUAGGAAGAAGACGUAACAUCCUGAUUCCCAAGUUACACACCAUCCUGUCCCACACUGGUAAGGCACUGGCAUGCUACAGAAGAAGUCCACAAAGCGAUAGCAGCAGAAACAAUGGGCCAAGAGAGUCCUGCCUAAGAAUCAAUACUUCUGUUGCCAUCAUGAAAGAGAGCAUCAACAUGGGCUUGUGAAGAGGGCCUUCAGUAUGCCAGCCAAGCCCUCUGCCAUGGAGCCAGGUUGAAUUGUCUUCUCUUCAAAGGAUACCUGUGACUGUGAAAGUGACCUUUUUUGGAAAUGAGAGCUUUGCAGAUGUAAUGAAGUUAAGAUGGAGUCAUGCUAGAUUAGAGUGGGCCUUAAAUCCAAUGAUGGGUGUCUUGGUAAGAAGAGGAGAGGAAACAAGGACACACAUGGAAGAAUGGCAUAUGGUAAUGGAGGCAGAGACGGGAGCUAUGUGUCCAAGCUAAGGGAUUGCUGGCAACGAGUGGAAGGUGCAAGAAGCUAGGGAGUAUUCUUCCCUAGAACAUUCAGAGGAAGCACGGUCCUACCCACAUGUUUUGGUCUUCUGACCUCUAGAAUUGUGAGUAAAUAAAUUUUUGCUGU